CCUACGGGAGGCAGCAGUGAGGAAUAUUGGUCAAUGGACGAGAGUCUGAACCAGCCAAGUAGCGUGAAGGAUGACUGCCCUACGGGUUGUAAACUUCUUUUAUAAAGGAAUAAAGUGAGGCACGUGUGCCUUUUUGUAUGUACUUUAUGAAUAAGGAUCGGCUAACUCCGUGCCAGCAGCCGCGGUAAUACGGAGGAUCCGAGCGUUAUCCGGAUUUAUUGGGUUUAAAGGGAGCGUAGAUGGGUUGUUAAGUCAGUUGUGAAAGUUUGCGGCUCAACCGUAAAAUUGCAAUUGAUACUGGCAGUCUUGAGUACAGUUGAGGUAGGCGGAAUUCGUGGUGUAGCGGUGAAAUGCUUAGAUAUCACGAAGAACUCCGAUUGCGAAGGCAGCAUGCCGGCGCCCUACUGACGCUGAGGCACGAAAGUGCGGGUAUCGAACAGGAUUAGAUACCCUAGUAGUC
Molecule: ribosomal RNA, 460 nt
Filed under: uncultured bacterium
Lineage: Bacteria
Description: partial 16S ribosomal RNA
Rfam family: Bacterial small subunit ribosomal RNA
Source: RNAcentral